GGGAGCUUUACCGGAGGGUGGGCCCCACGCAGGCGGUAUCGGUGCUCUCAAUCUCCUGCAAGAUCCGUUCAUGCUCCGGGACGGUGCCCAGACCAUCGCCAUUCUCCGCCAUCUUGGCUGGAAGCUGAGAAGCCGUUCCCCAUGGAGUUCUGCAUGUGGCUAAGAGAAAGCUGGAGAGGUUUUGAAACCAGACAAUACUGAAGCUCUGGAGUAACUGGAAACAAUUCAGGAUGAGUUAGAAAGGAGCAUGCCAAACAGGUCUGAGCAUAAGCUGACUGCAUCUACAAGGAUUGAGGCACCUGGUGUUAGCAGAUAAGAAUUGCAGGUUCAGCUCUUGAGAGAAGAAAAUAAACCUUUUGAAAAAUGAGCCUGAAACCAAAACAUAUGAAAUGAAGACAAAUUUUAUAUCUUCCUACAAAGAGAAGAGGAAGCCAGCUCCCUCCACAGGAAAUGGCAGACCAUCCUAGCUCAGUCGGUAUGCAUGGCUAGAAUUCAUUAUUCUGAAGAGUAAAGCAAGGUGAAGAGAGCAGCGCAAGUGGUAUAGGCUGCCUUCUUAUUUGGCGACUGUUUCCUGAUGGAACAUUCCUUUUCUGACCAUUCAUUACCCAAGACCUUCUCCUCUUCUCUUCACCAAUGCUGACAUCAUCUACCCAAACGCAGCCCCUAUUCUGGGAAGCCAGCCCCGCUUUGGCACUCCUCACUCCAGGCCUGUUUCAACACCUGCCCAUAGAGAUUACUUCAACAUAAGCAGCAGUAUCUUCCCCUCAAUUCAAGUCAAGACAGAAGGAAGUCCAUAUACCACUUCUCCUUCUGAAACAGCUUUUGCUGCUUCCCUUUGUGACUGCUGACAGUUCUGUUAGCACCUGAAGUUUUUUGCUAAGAAUUUAAAGCUAAAUGUUCUAGAUAACUAUACAAAUUUUAACUUCAGACACAGAUAUAAUACAUAAAUGUACAAAAAUGCCUAUUCUAAGCUAUACAUUUCUAAAAUAUAAAGAAUUUCAGCUAUAGGCCAAAAUAAAAACAUAAUAGCUAUAUAUUGAACACUACUUGCUAAGCCCUUUAUAUCAUCUAAUUUAAUCUUUACUAAAUCAGUAAUUUAACUGGGAAUUUAAUUAGUACUAAUUUUAUUGAAAUUUAAUUUAAACCUAGGGGGAUACUUUCAAUAUCUCCAGUUUAAUAUGAGGAAACAGACUUACAGAAAUUAAGGCACUUGUCUGGCGCCUGGGGUGGGCUCCGUGAGAACAGCAUCUGCCUUUGCCUCAGGUCAUGAUCCCAGGGCCCCAGUCCCAUGUCAGGCUCCCUGCUCAGUGGGGAGUC
This is a long non-coding RNA of Ailuropoda melanoleuca (giant panda), 1317 nucleotides long. RefSeq lists it as uncharacterized. The record is from RefSeq and is a predicted model, not a curated record. The transcript has 3 exons. Lineage: Eukaryota; Metazoa; Chordata; Mammalia; Carnivora; Ursidae.